GAUCCUGGCUCAGGAUGAACGCUGGCGGCGUGCCUAACACAUGCAAGUCGAGCGAUCUCUUAGGAGAGAGCGGCGGACGGGUGAGUAACGCGUGGGUAACCUGCCCUGUACACACGGAUAACAUACCGAAAGGUAUGCUAAUACGGGAUAAUAUAUAAGAGUCGCAUGACUUUUAUAUCAAAGAUUUUUUCGGUACAGGAUGGACCCGCGUCUGAUUAGCUUGUUGGCGGGGUAACGGCCCACAAGG
RNAcentral lists this ribosomal RNA (247 nucleotides) under uncultured bacterium. RNAcentral's name for it is "partial 16S ribosomal RNA". It matches the Rfam family "Bacterial small subunit ribosomal RNA", at positions 15 to 273 of the family's 1533-position model. The record is from RNAcentral.